ACUCAUAUUUUUUUUUAAAACAAAUGUACGGUGUGGAUAAAUGAUGGGGCGUAUGUACGGUAGGAUAUAAGCGUAAUUAUGUGAGAGGUGCACGUGAGUGUGUGGUGCGAGAAGCGUGGGAUUACUCCCCAACUCUAUAAUUCUCUCCAGCAGAAUUAUUUGUCCCACUUCUCUCUCAUUUCUCUCGGCGGUCUCUCUCUCUUCUCCUCUCAUCCGAAUCUCACUAUCUCAUUCUCUCAACCAAAACCCACCAAAACCACUUGAAACCUACACAAACCCACCUUCAAUUUGCCUUCUCUUCGUGAUUCAAGCUUCAAUUUCGUGGGUUUUUCUUGGAGGGGGCUGUUUUUGGUUGAUUUGAAGAUUUUGGAGUCAAGGGCUUGAUUAACCUUGGGGUUUUGCUCUCUAAACUUGAGAAUGUCUUCGAGGCGGGGAGUCAGGUGGGGUGAGACCGGGGACCAUGAUUACCAGGGCUGCAAUGUUUACAGGAGGGAUGAGGCGAGUCAGUGUACUCGGGAGGAAGCAAUGUUUCCUGAGAUUGUUGAGUGUGUGAAGGGCGUUGAAAUUCUAGUGGGCACGCAGAGAAGUAUGAACGUGGGGGAAAUUAGCUGUCGAGUCGUUAGCGCGGGAUCAUCUUCCGAGAGUGUUGAGAGUUCAGGAGGGAAGACACUGAGGGAAUUGUCACUCUUUGCAGGGCCAGCAGGGUUUGAAACCAUCUUCUCGUUCUGAGACCUCGGGAGUUGUCCUCAAACGUCAGAUUGUGUGUCAUCGUUGUGGUCAGCUUGGCCAUAUUCGUUCUCAAUGUCAGGGGCGCCAAGAAAGAUCUUGUUUUACAUGUGGGAAGUUUGAUCAUAUUGAAAGAAAUUGUCCUCAGAGAAGAAGAGUGCAGACUGAGUUGGGCAUAGCACAAGAACUAGGAACUUGGCAAAUCGUCAGCCAGCUGCAAUCCCAGGGCGCACCAAGGCAACCAACCAUUAGAGUGAGUACGAUGCCAGGGAGUUUUGAAAGUCAAGGGAGGAAAAGACAGAGGGAACCAAAUCAGCCUUCGCUAAACCAGAUUAACCUUAGGCCACCUACCUUAUCUAGGGAUCAAGGAGUUCCACAGCUUGAUAGGCUUUGUUAUGUCUGUCGCAAACCCGGCCACUUUGCGAGAAAUUGUCCUUUGGGAUUGGGAGUACAAGGUGGGUUGAGCUCAGUGCAGCAGAAUAAACGUACACCGAAACAGUAACAGAUGCAAUUCCACAGCUAAACUACUAUUUCCUACCAUUCUCUCUCGCUCUCAGAAACGUUAAUUGUUGAGGUAUCAUCAUUCCCUUGUUGUUCUACUCAUUCGUUAGCCAUUCCAUAUUGGUGCGUUGUCUUCAACUUCUUUGAUUUAUGUAUGGUGAGAAUUGAUCUGGUUUGGGAAGGGAUUGGUUGCGUCUGUGCUAGUUGGUGAUAUUCCGAGCGUGAUCUCGUGAGAGUUGUUUCUUUUAUUACCCUAUUUCGUUGGCCUAAUUGAAAUUUUGUUAGAGUUGUAUCGUAAUUUGUUUUUCGUGAAGUCCGUUGUACCGUUAACCUAUUAUAGUUCUUGACAUUUCAGUUAAUUAUCACACAAUCCAUUCCUAGCUUUUCUUGGGAAUAUUCAGAAUCUUGUGGCGAAGCACCCUGGCCAUGACACUUGCUAUUGCUGUUGGUGACUAUUUCCUGUAUUCCAUUCGAAAUUUUAUUCUAACUUUAUUCUGUUGGGAUAAGUUUUCAUUGGACGAUUCAGAUCCCUCGGUUGCGACUAUUAGUUUGUUUGUCUGUCACAAUUAUUCUGCAUAAGUUCUUGUGUUGAUACUUUAAUCUACUAAACCCAAUCUGUGGUCACAUACCUUAUGAUAUACAAAUUCUUCGGUGUCGUUAAAUUAGCACUUGUUGCUAUUGUUGCCCGUAUCUGCCUUGUAUCUGUUUGUUAGCCUUGACCUAUUUAGUUGGUUAGAGAUUCCUUGUUGCAGCUACUAGUUUAUUUCUUGGAAUGUAUCAUUCUACACAAAUUCUCAUGUCGAAAUUUGAGCCAAAUCUUGCGGUAGCAUAUUUUUCGAUAUCUAUUUGUUGGCUCUGUUCAAUUUGAAAUCACAUGUGAUAGUUGUCUUUAGUGCCAUCCAACUUUGUUGUGGUUCCUCAACUCGAAAGGUAAACGAUGGUUCAAUUUGUAACACUCAGUCUCAAUUUGUUAGAAGUAUUGCUCAAAUUUGGUAUUGGACAAAUUUUCAACCUUGUAUGAGUUGGAUUACUAGGGAUUUGUCUCAUUAUUUUGUGUUUGUCCUUAGUAAAGUUAUGAUCGGUUUUUUUAAGAUUCAUUGGAUUAUCAUGAGUUUGUACAGUGAGUUUGUUGUCUAAUCUUCUAAAGAUCUCAUGUGUCCUUUAGAUUCGGGUACCUUACUACCAUGCUCGUAUACUUAAUUAGUUUUGUUUGAGUUUUAGAGUUCGUUUGUCUCAUUUGAGAUAAUCAAAAAUUGUGUUGACUGUCGUCGUCUCUUAUUGUCACUUGAAGUGGGAAGAUUCACGCAUUUUGUAAAGUACCGCCGCAUUGAAGUGUGUCUCAUCUGGGGAAGAAAUGGAAGCGUUCGCCGCUAGAAAGAGAGGUUGGGUAUCGGAUACGGCACGUGUCUAUUGGAUAACUAGGCGACAACCGAUGAAAUCCAGUUGGAAGGGGAGCUUGAUCACCGCACCUUCUAGAUAGAAGUCUCAGGAAGUCAAAUGGAUUAUCGGGUUACACUCAGGAGGUAAAAAAAAAACUCUAUGGUGAGAUAGACAGUCGUAUAUAGGAAUUUUGUAAUAGAGAAAAGCUUGAAAACUGUGUACCGUUUAACGUUGCCGCUUAAAUUCUUCAAUAUACAUGAUGUGUUCUAUAUACGGAGAUUGAGGAGG
Molecule: long non-coding RNA, 2895 nt
Organism: Rhododendron vialii
Lineage: Eukaryota; Viridiplantae; Streptophyta; Magnoliopsida; Ericales; Ericaceae
Exons: 2
Source: RefSeq, a predicted model, not a curated record